CUACGUGCCAGCAGCCGCGGUAAUACGUAGGUGGCAAGCGUUGUCCGGAAUUAUUGGGCGUAAAGCGCGCGCAGGCGGAUUGGUCAGUCUGUCUUAAAAGUUCGGGGCUUAACCCCGUGAUGGGAUGGAAACUGCCAAUCUAGAGUAUCGGAGAGGAAAGUGGAAUUCCUAGUGUAGCGGUGAAAUGCGUAGAUAUUAGGAAGAACACCAGUGGCGAAGGCGACUUUCUGGACGAAAACUGACGCUGAGGCGCGAAAGCCAGGGGAGCGAACGGGAUUAGAUACCCCGGUAGUCCUGGCCGUAAACGAUGGGUACUAGAUGUAGGAGGUAUCGACCCCUUCUGUGCCGGAGUUAACGCAAUAAGUACCCCGCCUGGGGAGUACGACCGCAAGGUUGAAACUCAAAGGAAUUGACGGGGGCCCGCACAAGCGGUGGAGUAUGUGGUUUAAUUCGACGCAACGCGAAGAACCUUACCAGGUCUUGACAU
Molecule: ribosomal RNA, 487 nt
Filed under: uncultured bacterium
Lineage: Bacteria
Description: bacterial SSU rRNA
Rfam family: Bacterial small subunit ribosomal RNA
Source: RNAcentral